RNAcentral lists this ribosomal RNA (492 nucleotides) under uncultured bacterium. Its description in RNAcentral is "partial 16S ribosomal RNA". It matches the Rfam family "Bacterial small subunit ribosomal RNA", at positions 29 to 507 of the family's 1533-position model. The record is from RNAcentral.
AGUGAACGCUGGCGGUAGGCCUAACACAUGCAAGUCGAACGGCAGCACAGUAAGAGCUUGCUCUUACGGGUGGCGAGUGGCGGACGGGUGAGGAAUACAUCGGAAUCUACUUUUUCGUGGGGGAUAACGUAGGGAAACUUACGCUAAUACCGCAUACGACCUACGGGUGAAAGCAGGGGAUCUUCGGACCUUGCGCGAUUGAAUGAGCCGAUGUCGGAUUAGCUAGUUGGCGGGGUAAAGGCCCACCAAGGCGACGAUCCGUAGCUGGUCUGAGAGGAUGGUCGGCCCCACUGGAACUGGGACACGGUCCAGACUCCUACGGGAGGCAGCAGUGGGGAAUAUUCGGCAAUGGGCGGAAGCCCGACGCCGCCCAACCGCGUGGGGGAAAAAGGGCUUCGGGUUUUAAAACCCUUUUUUUUGGGAAAAAAAAAUGGGUGGUUAACUCCCCGCUUUUUGACGGUUCCCAAAAAAAAAGCCACGGCCAACUUCGUG